UACGGAGGGUGCAAGCGUUGCUCGGAAUCACUGGGCGUAAAGCGCCCGCAGGCGGCCUGACAAGUCGGAUGUGAAAGCCCUGGGCUCAACUCAGGAAUUGCAUUCGAAACUGGCAGGCUUGAGUACGGGAGAGGGGGGUGGAAUUCCUGGUGUAGGGGUGAAAUUCGUUGAUAUCAGGAGGAACACCGGCGGCGAAGGCGGCCCCCUGGCCCGCAACUGACGCUCAUGGUCGAAAGCGUGGGGAGCAAACAGG
Molecule: ribosomal RNA, 253 nt
Filed under: uncultured bacterium
Lineage: Bacteria
Description: partial 16S ribosomal RNA
Rfam family: Bacterial small subunit ribosomal RNA
Source: RNAcentral